This is a long non-coding RNA of Struthio camelus australis, 832 nucleotides long. The record is from Ensembl. Lineage: Eukaryota; Metazoa; Chordata; Aves; Struthioniformes; Struthionidae.
CACGUCUGAAAUGCAGUGCAAUUCUCUUAACAGUCUCCUAAUUUCUUUUAUUUACCUUCGUGUUUCUUCUAGCUUUGCCACUUCAGCAAAAGAAAUGGAGGGAACUUUUACGUACAAACUGACUGAAUAAGUUUCAGUGAGUUGUACAUCACAAAUUGAGAUCAUGACAAUGCACGUGAAAGAUUGUACAUCACAAAAAAAUUUGACCCCAUUGAGAUCAUGACAAUGCACGUGAAAGCUGGAUUUGGUUUGGUGAGGAUUUCAGGGCUGUGGAACAAGUCAAACAACGUCUUUCCUCGGUCUUUUCAGCAGACUUUACAUCCUUUCAAAGGAAUAGGAACUUGAGCAGCUGAGACCAAUGCGUGUAUAAACUUCCUGACCAAAAAAAGGAAUCAUGUAACGCGUUUCAGAUACUUCUAAGAAAAGUAUCCAGAGCUCUUAGCGGUAUGGAGGAUGCAGAUUUGAUGCCUCUCUCAAGUUAUGGGAGCUGUGGUUUGAACACUCUGAAGGAAAUGAGUUCCCUGCUCACUGGGCUAGAAUAUAUUGAAAUAGACGUGCUCUCAGCCCAGCACUGUUUUGCUCCAGAAGCCUGUUAUCCUAAUUACCAGCAUCUUGAAGGCAAAACUGCAAGAGUCUGUCACUGCCAAUCCAUGCUCCAAAGAGAAGUAGCGGAGAGAACAAGGGGAGAAGCAGAUAACAAAAAUUCCACUUAUUUUCUAAUGGCUCUUGGAAGUUCCUGUAGAAUUCAGGUAAUACCCAAAAGUACUGUUCACAUACAGAGGGGAGCACAGUGUAGAAGUCUGCUGUAGAAUAAAGGAGGAGAAAAACUACA